Molecule: ribosomal RNA, 462 nt
Filed under: uncultured bacterium
Lineage: Bacteria
Description: bacterial SSU rRNA
Rfam family: Bacterial small subunit ribosomal RNA
Source: RNAcentral
UGGAUUAGGCAUGCAAGUCGAACGGUAACGCGGGGGCAACCCUGGCGACGAGUGGCGAACGGGUGAGUAAUACAUCGGAACGUGCCCAGUAGUGGGGGAUAGCUCGGCGAAAGCCGGAUUAAUACCGCAUACGACCUACGGGUGAAAGCGGGGGAUCGCAAGACCUCGCGCUGUUGGAGCGGCCGAUGGCAGAUUAGCUUGUUGGUGAGGUAAAGGCUUACCAAGGCGACGAUCUGUAGCUGGUCUGAGAGGACGACCAGCCACACUGGGACUGAGACACGGCCCAGACUCCUACGGGAGGCAGCAGUGGGGAAUUUUGGACAAUGGGCGCAAGCCUGACCGAGCGACGCCGCGUGCGGGAUGAAGGCCCUUGGGUUGUAAACCGCUGUUAGGGGGGAGCAAGGGAAACUUGAGCGAGCCCCAAAGAAAGCACGGGCUAAGUUCGUGCCAGCAGCCGCGGUA